Molecule: small RNA, 76 nt
Filed under: Epilithonimonas hungarica
Lineage: Bacteria; Pseudomonadati; Bacteroidota; Flavobacteriia; Flavobacteriales; Weeksellaceae
Description: Chryseobacterium hungaricum Flavo-1 RNA
Rfam family: Flavo-1 RNA
Source: RNAcentral
CUGCAAUAGGGAUAGUAGCGGCAUCCUUUUGCGGAGCGCAGCGGAGCAAAAGAUAUAGCGGAUAGCCCGGCUCUGU